CGGAGGCUGCUGGGAAUCUACUGUAGAUUGAGUCCCACACCUUCCUGGCUCGGAAUGCUCUCGCGGUAGUGGAGCCUUCGCGCGGGACCUUGCUGGGGAAUGUACGUUACAGAAAUAGGUUUGUAGGUGCAGCACAUGAGACUCUGUUCCAGUGAAAUGCUACAUUCAAAGAAGUGCUGUCCACCUCAGAAGAUCCCAGAGGAUGCAAUUCUGGCUGUGCUGGGAAGUGCUAAAGUUCCCUCCAUAUGUCACUCUGGAGAAGGAAGCAGCAAAGCAGCCAUGUUGAGUUCCUCUCUCAACCUUUGGCAUCAUGGACGAUGGUAGCUAAAACAGAUAAAAAAGAGACAAGUUACCACAUGAUGUCCAUUGCUUUGCUAUUAAUGUAUCAGUAGUAAUGAAAUUAUAUCCUAAUUAA
This is a long non-coding RNA of Macaca mulatta (Rhesus monkey), 415 nucleotides long. RefSeq lists it as uncharacterized. The record is from RefSeq and is a predicted model, not a curated record. NCBI's taxonomy places the organism in Eukaryota, Metazoa, Chordata, Mammalia, Primates, Cercopithecidae.